ACUGGCUCUUAUUUUCUUUCCAUCACCGAAUGGUUUCUUCCAGAAACCAUUUCUCAAAAUCAAAACCAUUCCUUUUUGUGCUCAAAGCUUCAUCCAAAAGAAGAAGCUUCAAUUAGAUAUAAGUGGUUGUUUGCUAUAGCUUUGUGGUCAGAAUACUGCCAUAUCAUCUUCCCGACGAUAGGAACACCUCUUUGAGAUUACUGAGCUCAACAUCUACAGUGCUGUUUUUGGGACCGAAAUUUGGCCAGCUGCGGGGAAUAUGGGAGAACAAUGUAUUGUACACAAUUUGCCAAAGAAUGUGCCUGUUACUCAUGACAAUGCAGAAAAUAUAUGGUUAUUUGAAUUCAAGGCUUAGGGUUUGUUUGGAUUGUGUUAUUUAAGCUUCCCGAUGAUUGGCUGGUUCAGCAAACACGCCGUAUCUCUAACCCUGACCACAUUGACAAGGGUUUGUAAAUAUACAUAUCAUUAGAGAAAAACUGAUGAAGCAGAAGUGGCAAGUUAUAAUGUUGCUUGUUGUUACUCUAAGCUAAACCAGAAGCUUAAGGAUUUGAAGAGCAAAAAAGUUACAAAAAUGUCAAAAGGAAGCAAGUAAAAAAAAUGGAAACUAGCAUUCUUCACCAUUCACCAAGUGGGUAUUGAUGCUGAUGAAAUAGUCAUUUGGAUGAAGAUAAUUUAAUUGGCCAUGGUGGUACCUGAGAGGUUUAUACUUCAACUCUAUGCUUGAUUUUUUAAAUGAGGAACCAACCUUUUAGUUUCUGCGUAAAGCUCUCUUCAUAGAUAAAAGAUGAGAAGGUUGCACGGGCUUGGAAUCACAAGUAUAAAUUGCAAUGUUCUCCACCUGUUAUUCACGGGGGUAUAAAAUCUAUCAACAUCUUGCUUGAUGAAGACUAUGUGGCAAAAAUUGCUGAAUUUGGUGUUGCAAGGUUUGCUGAAAAAAUCUCAGAUGGGUUAUACUGUUCCAGGUAUGUUUUGAUAAUGCUUUCAACAAGAAAUUUCAAUACACUAUUUUUAGUUUCAAAAGUAUCUCAUGUUUUAUUUACACAAUCAUUAUUUGUGACAUUUUAUUAUAAGCAUUUGCGGAUUCGAACCCCUGUAGUCAGGAAAUCCCUCAUCUGCAGCAAUCAUACAAUCUAGAUUGUUGAAUUAAUUAAGAUAAGAUGAUUUGCAUUUAAAUUUCGUAAUCGAUUCUAUUCUACAAGGGCAGAUGUGAGACAUAGGAUCUUGAUCAGAUAGUCCAAAAUGCAUGACUUUAUCAAGUGUGCAAUUUUAUAAUUGCAAGAAUUACAAAUCCAUAAUGAUUAUAUUAAGCGUGAUUAUAAAUUGUAUUAUGGAACUACAAAUGCAGCAUAAAAGUAUUUUGAGGUAUCUGCAGCAUCGCAUUGGCCGUAUUACUCAAUUGCUUAUUAAAAUAAGGAAUACAAGAUUGAUGACUUUUUUUCUUGUAAAGAUAAGAUAAACAUGUUCGAACCAAAACAUUUUCCAUAUGAAAUUGUAACACAGAUUAGGACAAAAAAAUUAAUGGCAUCUUACUGAUAUCCAUUACUUUCCUGGAUUUAAUGCUGAUUCCUGGAUUUAAUGCUGAUGGAAUGCUAAGUAAGAAGAAGCAUUAGAGAAAUUUGAUUCUAUUUUGGGAGCAAAGCCAGAACUUGAAGAAGCGGCAUUCACAAGUUAUCAUGUUGCUUGUUGUUAUUCUAAAUCAGGUAUGCAUUUCACUACUUAUUAAUUGGUUUUGAACCAUUUUGUUGUGAGUAAUUCUGUCAAAUAUUGAAUAAUCUCUCAAUAUAUGUAUUAUAACAUCAGCCACAAUUUUUUUGAGCGUUAUAAUGUUUAAGAAAGCAUGUUUUAGCUUAAUACUACACCAUUUCGGAUCCAUUGAAGUCCCACGUUGGCUAGAACAUCACACAAGCAAGUGUUUAUAAAUGCCUGACAUGCUAGUUAGUUCGCCGAGCUGAGUAACGCCAGCUUAUGACCCAUGUGGGGGCAUCAAGGUGAUGGAACAUGGCUAAGACUUAACAGGUUGGUCUGGUGGUUGAACCAUGCUGGCCUGCCCGCUCCAAGUUGCGAGUUGGCCCAUGGGUCUUGUGCGAAGGCACGAGACUUGUGUGUCUUAGACAGGAGGGUAUAGCGUGAGGCUGGUUUCACAGAGCAGCGAAUACUUCCUACUCUUGACAGUGGAGGGAUCACGGACCGCUUCAUCCCCAGCCCACAAAACCUGGUGAGCCGGCCCAUGGGUCUUGUGCGAAGGCACGAGACUUGUGUGUCUUAGACAGGAGGGUAUAGCGUGAGGCUGGUUUCACAGAGCAGCGAAUACUUCCUACUCUUGACAGUGGAGGGAUCACGGACCGCUUCAUCCCCAGCCCACAAAACCUGGUGAGCCGGCCCAUGGGUCUUGUGCGAAGGCACGAGACUUGUGUGUCUUAGACAGGAGGGUAUAGCGUGAGGCUGGUUUCACAGAGCAGCGAAUACUUCCUACUCUUGACAGUGGAGGGAUCACGGACCGCUUCAUCCCCAGCCCACAAAACCUGGUGAGCCUAGCCCUUUGAACCAUCUCUUUUUGGUGGGUGGGGUUCAUACAUUUUGAGGUGCCAUGUCCUAAAAAAUUAUGGAUGCUUUGGCAUCUUUGAUUUACAAACACCGUGAUCCAUACCCAUCUUGGAUCCUCACUCAUGUAGUCCUUAUUUUCACUUACAGUUUGGCAUUGCCCGUCAAAAAGGAAAAGCAAACAAUAUUGGUCCUCUAUUAAAAAUUUUAGAAACAUUUGGACAAAAAAUAUUUCACAUAUUAAAUGCACUGUCAAAGUAGGAAAAAGUAUGUUUGCUAUGAUAUUAUGGAGGAGUUGGAAUUCAUUUGGGACAACAAAUAAGACAGAGAAGCAGAUAUAAUUCAUCUGAGGGAGUUGUUUAUAAGCGGAGUGGGGGACUGCACGACAAACGGACAUGAAGGAUGGGCCAAAACAGCAGGGGCAACAUAAAAUGGCAACGUCCUCCUCAAAAUUAUAUUGAGUGCAAAGUUGAUGUCUUGUUCUCAGAGUACCACACCAGUGUAUGGGAACGAGUUGGUUAUGUUCGUGGGAGCCAAAACUCUGCGGCUGCAAUCAGUUAUGACAGUUGAUAUCAGAGAAGCAUUAGGCAUGUUAGCGGCGCUGGAGUGGGUGCGAGAGCUGAGCUUAGCUAGUUGUUUAAUACCUGGAUUCUAAAAGGGAUGACACUUUCAGCUCAGAUGUGCCUGUAUUAUAAGGUGUUUUCAAUACAGUCAAAUUAAAACACCUGUUUAUUUGUUGAUUUGAAGGGAGGUUGAAUUGGAUGUUGAGUUUUGUCAAGAGCACAAACACUUGACAAUGAUGAUUAUCAUAGACAAAUUAACUUCAAUUCACACCAAUAACAAAAUAUUGAUUCUUUAUUUGAGAUGAAUUGUUUUGAAACUGCACAGAUAAUGAUGUAAAGAUAAAAUAUAGUUAUACAAGUUGGACAAUAUGAUCAUACAGGUUUGACAGUAGUGAAUUCUGCAGAAAAAUGAAAAAUGCAAACAGAAAAAGAGAACAUAAAAUUCACUUCCUAUUUCUUCCUACUUCUUCCUUUCACUUUCUUUUUCUAUGUGGAACUUAACAACCAGUAGGCGAUGUAUUUUCCACCCUCUACUGGUAGACCAUUACCCGCCUUCGAAACUGUUUAGCAACUUGUGUAAGAUUGAUAGACAAGAGGGUGUAAACUGACAUUGUUUUGCUGAUGGUGUAAAGUGAAGUCGGAGACAGCAGAGCACGUGCUACAGCUAUGUAAUAAGAGCAAAAUCUGGACAUGUGGAGACACAGAGCAUGCACUGCUGCUAAAUAGGAACAUUUGGAGGAGUAGGAAUUCAUCCAUUUGGGACAACAAAUAAGAGAGAGCAGCAGAUGUAGUACAUGGGAGGGAGUUGUUUUCAAGCAGAGUGGUUGACUGCACGACAAACGGAUGUGGACGAUUUCAGCUCAGCUGGCCUGGAUUAUAACAAACUGCAACGAGAAUUUAUUCGUAUACAAUUUUAAAAGUAGUGAAUACUACCAGUAGUUAAUGUAAAAUAUCAACAAGAAAGAUUAAAAUUAAAAUUUGAACUAGGUUUGGUGGGGUGUGAUUUUAAAAGUAGUGAAUACUACCAGUAGUUAAUGUAAAAUAUCAACAAGAAAGAUUAAAAUUAAAAUUUGAACUAGGUUUGGUGGGGUGUGCCAGGCUAUUGCAAUAGUGCAACGCAAAAGCGACACAUGAAAGACCCAAUAGCAAGCCAUUGUGGUGGACUCUCCCCCUCAAGAAAUAAAUUUAAUAUCGUGUGAACCAUUGGCCCACAUAUCAGAUAUUAAACUGAUAAGAACAGAUACUACACUUGAUCUUAGCCAAAAGGCCGAGAAAGGUAUGAGUUGAAAUGUAUGCUUGUUGUGUCAUUUAUAUCUGACAUCUGUUAAGUUUUUUACUUCACUAACUGAGGUGGGACUCUUAUACAGCAACUUGGAGACUACAUAUUUCCCUUUCCUUUCAUAACAAAUCACAAUAUAAGUCCAAGAUAUCUCUAUUGAUUCUAAAUAUUUUAUUCAAUUCUCGUUGUGUUUAGUUCUAUGGGGUAAACAAUUAAAAGGUGAGUGAAUCAUUCUUAAUGGAAAGGACGUUGAAACUUUGACGUUGAGGUUUUGAUAUUGAUGGGUACGAACGAGUAUUUGUUGAAAAAUUACUCACUGCAACCGCAACCACUUUUUGCUUCACAUUCUCGUCAACAUUCACAUUAAUUGCGCAUAAUUAUUGAAAAUUUCUUCAUAUAUGUUACCUCCUCUCUCUUCCUGAAACAUAUUAGUUGAAAGCCAAAUUCAUUCUAGGCGGCAAAUUGUUUACAUCUAUUUGUUCUAAUAUAAGCAAGCUCUCUGUUUACUGUGGAAAUUGGUAAAGAACCGCUGGUCUUCCCAAAGCCUUAAACUAAGGGUUAUUUGCAAGAUCGACCAGUUGAUCUUGAGACAAGUGCUAAGGUUUUUGAAAUUGUACUGGUUCUGUCGUUGAUAUUAGCCUAAGAAACGGUUUUCUAAGACUGAAGGAACAAGUACAACGGCUUUCCAUACGUUGUGUUAGGUUCGACCGGCAGGUGACUCGUGACCGACGGGAACAAACCUAAGCUUAACAACUAAACAAAUCUGGACUCGGACCUACUAUGGUGACUCGUGACCGACAUGAGGUAUUGAAUCUAGACUUUGUUCUAAACGAAAUAAGGAGUAACUGACUCUUUUGUGAACAUGAAAAUAUAAAACGAACAAUGAUCAAUGAGUAAAAUGCAAGUAAAAGCUUCAAAAUACAUGACUAAAACAUAAAGACUUUGCAUUGAAAUAAAGGUGGUGAUUCACAUACAUCAAGACACUUAGCAACUCUUUCUUCCUGAAGUCGGAAAUUGAGCAGAGCUUCAGCAAGUAGUUUGGAUGUACCAGCGAACACACCAAUUUCUACAUAAAAUGACUUAUUUAUAGUAAUAAACAAAGAUAACUGCCUAAAGUGACCUAUGGCUGACAUUGAAGCUAAAUGAUAACUGCUUCAUGAGAUUUCGCCAUGUAUUUGGCGCCCACCAGACACGAUUUCUUGGAGUAACUGCCUUCAGUCUUUUAAAUUUGAAACUUCCCGCCUUCGUUUCUCCAAAGAUAAAUCGCUCUUGGUUUCCACGCUGGCAUUCGUCAAAUGUAGAAAUUUUUACUAAGUAUAAGGAGCCUCUUCGGCAGACUUGCAUGCUUCUAGUCGAUUCGACUUGCAUGCUCUUUCGACAUGCCUCGUCCUCGACUUUCUUCCGUACAUUUCCCCAUGUGCGCCUCAAUUUCUUGAAGCGCCUUUACUUGUAAGCCUCCUCCCUUAACUUCUAAGGUCACCAGCUGGGUAUGUACACCAUUUCCUGCUUGUGGAAAUCUUAAGGUAACACUUCCAUAAUGCUCUUUUUUCUCCAUUCAUUUAUAAAUAUCAGUUGACAUAAUUGAACUAUUUUUAAGAAUGAACGCUAACUAUUUUAAAGAAUGCCUUCAUUCUGUUUCUUAAGUUUUUCAAUAAAGAACUAUAAAUUGCUUCUCUGUUAUUCUCUUGCCUAAUAUUUCAUAAUAUUGAUCAUGGAUGUGUAAAUAAAACAACCACGGUCAUGUAAUGACAUCAUUUGGUUAUUUAUUUGCUAUGAAAGCCAUGACUAUUUAUUUGCUAUGAAAGCCAUGACACUUUCAGCCUCUGCUUUUGGAUCUUAAGACAGUAGUGAGAAAUAGUUCUUUAGAAAAGCCUCUGCUUUUGGAUCUUAAGACAGUAGAGAGAAAUAGUUCUUUAGAAAACAUGCUUGUUUAUAGAUGGAUUGAGGAUCUAAUUGCUCCUGAAUUAGCGGAGGGUCCUACUGAAGAGCCAUAAAGAAUUUUUGCUAGCAUCUCAUUUGAUUCCUUAUGUUGGUAUUAUGGUAAAAUACAAGCUAAUACUUACAGUUGAUACAACAGUAACCUGUUGUAAAACCGUUGUAUAUAUUACAACUGCAACUGUGAGUAAGAAGUAAGAUCAACAUACGCCUUCAACAUGGUAAGUUGAAAAUACUCCAGAGUCCAUAGUAUCUUUAUAUAGUGUUCUUCUAAAACACCAGAACCCCCAUUUGGAAAAUUAACUAGUCAACUAGAAUCUGAGACAGAAUCUCCUAAACAAAAGAAACUUUGAUGUAAGAAUAGGAGGGGGCCGCGCGAACGCAGGCCCCCACAGCAACAAAUUAUGAUGUAGGUUCCACCACUUGGGUAGACCUUAGGAUAGCACCCCUCCUAAGUGCAAUGGAGGUCACUCUCCUAGGCCAUGGUCCUUCAUGAUCAACCAUUGACCCCAUCCAGGUAAGUAGUUUGCAAUGAAGAUAUUCAAGUUCUUUUAUACUCUUGAUUAUCUCAAUACCUUUCCCCUUCUUUAGAUGUGGGACUCAACUAUAGUAAACAAUGUAUUUCUCACCUCUACUGCUGCUUUUUGUUUUUUCUCAUCUCCAAGCAUGACGGGUUCGCUUUGGCUUUUAUUAUUGAGUUGGAUAUUUUCUUCCUUGUUACUUUUAGUUGAAUUGAAAACUGGUAUCUGCGCAUCAAAUUUAAGAAAAACAUCUUGAUGAAUUUUAACUACUCUCUUGAUGUGUUUAAUACUGAGAUCUCUUACCAGACAGCUGGAUGAACAUUAACCACCCUAUUUUACACCGCUGCAUCAUCAGAAAAUUCUGUAGACAUUCACUCCAACUUGUGCUGAAGUUGGUUUUUUGUUGCGUAACAUGUAGUCAGAUGGUGCACAUGAUUUUACGAAAGCAACUACACGAACAAAUUAGUUAAUAACUUUAUCAAAGAGAGUGAUUACUUUAAGAUGUGGUCUUGGUACUUACAAUGCAAAAAGUAGGAUUCAACUUUGUUUUCUACUUUUAAACGGCUGAGGGUAUUUGAAGUAAAGAAAGAGAAAGCCAUUGGUUAAUGAUAAAGUAUUUUCAAUAAAUUAAAUAGGAUUGUGUAGUCAAUAUGUUUGAGUUAAGAGUUGAAGGAGUUACAAGUCCCGUGUUCAAAAUCGGGUGGUGGAUAAAAUACUAAGAUAACGAUUACAUUAGUUUAUCUAUUAAAUAAAAAUAGUAAAGUAAUAAUGAAUUUCUCCAAGAGAUUUAAGAUGCACUUUCGAUCCGUUAUUAAAAAGAUUUGAUUAAUCAUUUAUCAAGGAGAACGCAACCAAUGUCAUCAAAUCAUUUCUUGGAAUAUUUAAUAAGAAAUAAUCCCUUUGUGUGGGCACAAGAAAGCAUACAGUUUAGAAGUAUGAUUCUGUCACAUUAUUUUUGUAGCAGUGUUUCAUUUUUUACCAAUUGUGGGUGAAAUGAUAAUGUAUGGAUAUACUUCAUAUAUUUAUUGAAUGAUAACUUAUGGGGUUAGAAUUGGUCAUGUUGGCUUAUGGAGUUUAUAUAUAUAAUCAAUUACUACUAAUUAAGUGAAGUUGAGGCAACAUAACAUAACAAAUUAUACAUAUAGAUGCAGAUUGAUUGAAAAAGAGAAAUAGUAAGCAGGUUUGACAGAGCAAGGAGAACUAACUGUGUUAUGUUUGUUUAGUUACUUUUAGUCCCACAUCGGUUGGUUUGUUUUCUUUUAUUGUGUUUAUAAACAACAGAUACUCAUUCAUUGCUCGUCCCUUCGGGGACAUCCGAUAAAAUUGGAACGAUACAGAGAAGAUUAGCAUGGCCCCUGCGCAAGGAUGACACGCACAAAUCGAGAAAUGGUCCAAAUUUUUUUGCGAUUUCCUUUCAAUUUCAAUGCAGUAAUUAAACCAAGAAGGAGAUUUGCUCAAAAAAAAAAAAACCAACAAGGAGAUUGUCUAGUUCACAUACAUUUUCUUCUCAAAGUGAUGAAAAUCAUCCGGACUAAUUUUGUAAGUAAAUUAUUAGCCUUUAUUCUCAAAGCACAUGAUUUAAUGAAGUAAGCUAAAGGCAAAUCACAUAGCAAGUUUUGACAUUGUUUGAUAAAAUAUGGGUUUGAUGACUUGUAAUGUUUCAUGUUCUAGUCAGUGUUCUACCUACCAAGCCUUCUCAUUUUAUUUUGCCGAAUUGCUAAUUCAGUUCAAGUGAACACCAAUUUUAUAUAAGAAUGAUAGCUUUUUGAUAUGGCAGAACAGUGAAAAUUUAUUGCAUUUGAACAUUUAUCAUAAUCUCCAUGUGUUUUUUUGUAUACCUCCAUCAGUUUACGAGAACUGUAACUACAACAGCCAGGAGAUUCUUAACCAGAACAAUUGUCAAAUAUACAUAUAUUGAAAUCAACUCUAUAAAGGAGUUUGGGAUUGAAUAUUGUAUUAAUUUUGUACUUGAGCUAAGAUCCUAAUCUAUUUCUAUAAAUGUUUGAAAACUGGAUCACGAAAUAUUAUGCUAUCAUCACAUCAAUUUUUAUACUGACAAAACUUGAACAUUCUAAGUACAAUCAGUUUGGCAUGCUUAUUAAUGAUUCUCUCACCCUAUGAGAUUCGUUAGCUACUUACAUGACUUUUUAACUAUAGUCAUUGCUAAUGGCUAAUAACAAUCACAUUAAUUAUUGUCAUUGCUAAUGACUAAUAAUCGCAUUGGUCAUUGGGGAUGUUACAUCUUCUAUGCGGUUUUUGGAAUUGAAAUUUUGCCAGCUGCAGAAUAUGAAAGGAGGACAAUUCGGCAAAUAAUUGGGCCAUUAACUCAUGAGAAUUGAAAUAGUGUGAUAUAGCACAUGUAGCUAAGUCACCAUCACACUAGAAAUUCAUUCACUAUGUGGCUACUCAUUUAGAAGAAGUGGUGUGGUCUACACGGUACCUGGGAAUAUUGUUAGAACCUUACAAAUGGAUAGGUAACUUUAAGAUACUUUAGGAGCUCUACUCUAGUAAGAAUCUAGGAAUUAGAUAUUCCCGUUUCUGUAAUCACUUUGUAACCACUUCAAUUCCAUAAUAAAUAAAGCUCCCACCCUAUUUUAUUUCGACUUUAUUUACUAUUUUUAUACUGUGUUGACUUCUGGUUUGUAUCAAACCGGUCCGACGUACCAGAUACGACGACGGAACCAGUGAAAGCAACCGAAGAAGGUUACUCUGCCAGUGUUCAAACAGAUGGAAGCCAAGGGGGAAGCACUAGAGCGCUAGAAAAUGAGAUAUCAGAGGUACGAUCAACUCUGGUUGAGUUACCGACAUUUGAUGGCGAGGAUCUGGCAGGGGGGAUUUCGCGAGCAUAAGUUUAUUGUCGUGUCGAAGAUACAAUUUCGAAGGUGAAAGUGAAUAUGGCCCAGUUUUGCAUGGAAGGGUCAACUAUCCACUUCUUCAAUUCACUCGUUGGAGAGGAAGGAGAGUUGUCAUGGGAGAGGUUGUAGGAACUGUCGCUAGAAAGAUACGAGGGUCAUGUGGACAGGGAUAUCUACGAACAGUUAACGGAGUUGAAGCAAGAGGGAACGGUGGCGAAAUACAUUACAGAAUUUAAGUAUCUAACAGCUCAAAUUCUUAGACUCCCAGAUAAACAACUCUUGGGUUUUUUUCUACAUCAGAGGGGAAAGGUUAGGAGUUUUGCAGUCAUGGGAGAGAUGAACUGAACCAAGCUGUUGCAAGUGACAAGGGCUGUGGAAAAUGAGACCAAUGGUGAGGAGAAAGUUAUAGUCGUGGGACCAUACGCCGCAGUACCGGCUCAUUUUCGAGCCCGAUUAUUCUAGUAAAGAAGAAAGAUAAAACUUGGAUAAUGUUCAUUGGUUAUCGUGCUCUCAAUAAGGUAACGGUACCUGAGAGAGGGAGGAACACAGGCUGUUGCACCUCCAGUCCACAAUAUUGAAAUAAGGAAUAUAGGAUUGCUGACCUUUUUCUUGUAAAGAUAAGAUAGAGAUCUAAGACACAAAACAUUUGCCAUAUGAAAUUGUAAUGUAGAUUAUGACCCAAGAAUUAAUGGCAUCUUUCUGAUAAUAUAAGUAUAGUUUGCUUCGAAUCAUUCCUUUAAAGUUUGAAGGUCCUUCAAUGAACUCAAUAAAAAGAUUAGACUAAGCGGUGUUUUCAUAUAUAAAGACAGUUUGGCCGAGUGGUCUAAGGCGCCAGAUUUAGGCUCUGGUCCGAAAGGGCGUGGGUUCAAAUCCCACAGCUGUCAUUUAUUUUUUUAUAGAGAACUGAUUGUCUCAAAUUCUCCAAAUUUUCACCUCAAAUAUCUUAGUUAAGAGUUCAAAGGAGUUCGAAGACCCGUAUUCAAAAUCGGCUGUUGGAUAAAGUACUAAGAUAACAAUGGCAUUUGUUUAUCUACAAAAUAAUUAUAAUAAAGCAAUAAUGAAAUUCUCCCUGAGAUUUAAGAUGCACUUUCGAUCCAUUUAUGUAGAUUUGAUGAAUUAUUUAUCAAGGAGAAUGCAAUCAAAGUCCUCAAAUCAUUUCUUGGAAUAUUUAAUAAGAAUAACCUUUUUGUGUAGGCACAAGAAAGCAUACAAUUUAGCAGUAUUCUUCUGCCACAUUUAUUUUUGUCAUUUAUUUUUGUACUAGUGUUUCAUCUUUGAUGUUUUGUAUUGCCAUAGCGUGAUGGUGCCAUGGUGCCAAAAGGGUUGGUUAUGAAAAACUUGAAUUUUUCCACUCAAGUGAAGAUUUUGGAAUCAUACACUUGAGCCUAUUUUAUGCUAGUGUUUUAUUUAACUUGCAGACAUCUGAGUGAAGUUGGCUUCAAAGGGUAUGAUAGUUCAACAAACAAUUUUUUGCACCUGCUCACUGAAGAUGUAACUUAACAUUUAUUUAGAAUUAGAACAAUAAAAGUAAAAAAGUAAUAUCAUUAUCAUUAUAGUUUAAGGACUUAAAAUUUAAACUAGGUUUGGUGGGGUGUGCCAGGAAGUAAAACACUCUAGGAAGGAGUAGGACACUAUUCAUUGCUGCUGGAAUGCUAAUUACGAGGAAGCAUUAGAGAAAUUUAAUUCGGUUUUGGGAACAAAGCCAGAUGUUGAAGAAGCAGCGUUCACAAGUUAUAAUGUUGCUUAUUGAUACUCUAAACUAAGCCAGGUAUGCAUUUCACUAUUUCUUCAUUGGUUUUGGAACAGACAAGAUAGGCAUGGCAGAAACAAAACAUUUUCCAUAAGAAAUUACAAUCUGCAACACCUAGUUUGGGAGGAAAAAUGCUUCAAUUUCGAAGCAUCCAAUUCGCUAGGAGUAUACAUCUGCUACACUACACCUAGUUUGAGUGAAAAAAUAGAUCUCACCGUCCAUUACCUUCUUGGAAUGCAAAAGGAAUGCUAAGUACGGGGAAGCAUCAGAGUAAUUUGAGUCUGAAUCUAGAGUUUUCUAAAAUGCUAAAAACUUAAGCAGAAAAACCCCUUGCUAAGUUAUGGUUUCCUGAUAUAUAAUAUUUGUUAGAACAAGACUGAAUAUAGAAAGAGAAAUUUGAUAAAGCUAUGGUUUCCAAGUGGAGAGAUUCUAUGAAACAAUUUGGUGGACUUGCUGGCUUUGUUUUCAAUAACAGGUUUCUCUAUUUUCUGAUCAUCUAUUUUUGCAAUAAUAUUUUAAGUAUGAGUGUAGAAAAAGCAUUUCAUAUAUUUCAAACUUGUGAUUUAUGAUAGAAGAAUAACCUAGCAUGAAAUGAAUUAUAGUUACUCACACUAAAUCAGAUUCCCCGAGUCACCAUCAGCACAUGUCACAUGAAUUAUAGUUUCUCACUCGAAAUCAAAUUCCCCGAGUCACCACAUGUCACCGAAGCAUGUGUAAAUUUAGUUAAAAAUCAUCAUUAAAAUGACUUUAAUAUUAUAUUUUAAUGAUUUGUUCAGUGGUAUAGCUUGUACUCUCAUGGAUUGUUCUUUUGAUUCUGCUAUACUUUCUUUUUUUUAGUUUGUUUCACUCUUUGUUGCUUAGUGAUGAAGGCAAGCAUGAGAAACUGAUACGCCUUUUGGUGAAAAUGGUUUUAAAGGAGUUAAGUAAUAGUCCAAUGAUUGUGGCUGAGUUUCUAGUGGUACUCAAUGAACGUGUUGAGAAGGUGAUGGAUGGAUCAGUUACAUUUUCAAUCCAACAGUGUCAAGGUCUUAGGUUUGUAUGGGAUGGGGGGUGUUGGUAAGACAACCCUUGCAAAGGCUCUUUUUAAUAGUCUCGUUGGUCGUUUUGAGCGUAGUAGAUGUUUAUUUCAAAUGAGAGACAAUUUUCAGCUAAAGUGAGUGGUUUGCUUUCUCUUCAAAGAAAUAUCAGUAAAGAUAUUUCUUAUGAAGAAGAAAGUUUUAUUAGAGAUGCUGGUAUUUCUACGUACAAUAAAAAAUAUAGUUCAUAAAAAUUGAGUCCUGUCGGUGCUGGAUGAUGUUGAUAAUGUAAAUCAGCUUGAUGUUUUGAUUGGUAAAAGGGAAUGGUAUGAAGGAAGUUGUAUCAUAAUUACAACAAGGGAUACAACUGCUUUGCCUGAAAAACAUGUCAAUGAGUUGUAUGAAGUCAAAGAGUCGUAUGAUGAAGAAGCUCUACAGUUAUUCAGUCAAUGUGCUCUUGUGCUGCAUGCUGUUGUUUUAUAGAUUAUUUAAUAUACAUGCAUGUUUGUGUUUCUUGAAAUUCGUGAUAAUAAUCCUUCGUGAUAUUCAGCGGUCUCCAUUGAUUU
This is a long non-coding RNA of Vicia villosa (hairy vetch), 13026 nucleotides long. RefSeq lists it as uncharacterized. The record is from RefSeq and is a predicted model, not a curated record. The transcript is spliced from 7 exons. NCBI's taxonomy places the organism in Eukaryota, Viridiplantae, Streptophyta, Magnoliopsida, Fabales, Fabaceae.